GGCAAGAUAGCUCAGCUGGUGAGAGCGCUCGGCUCAUACCCGGGAGGUCCUCGGUUCGAUCCCGAGUCUUGCUA
Molecule: transfer RNA, 74 nt
Filed under: Candidatus Melainabacteria bacterium
Lineage: Bacteria; Bacillati; Candidatus Melainabacteria
Also listed under: 2 other names
Description: tRNA-Met
Rfam family: tRNA
About the family: Transfer RNA (tRNA) molecules are approximately 80 nucleotides in length. Their secondary structure includes four short double-helical elements and three loops (D, anti-codon, and T loops).
Source: RNAcentral